UAAUCUCUGCGUAUAGCUUUGAAUGAAAGCACUUAUCCAACAGAGGUAUAGAAAGACAGAGUUGCAGAUUUCAUUACGUGAUUGUCGGCAGGAAGACAUUUGAACAGCCUUUUUAGGAUGCCAACCCUUUAGGCUGGUAGUUUAACCAACCAAAUAUCCUCUUCUGUCAUCAGCCUGGGGGGCUUUUUGACUUGAAAAUGGAAAACAUUACCUCACGCUUUAGGAAAAGCAAAGGCGGAAAUAAGCACUCAUGACUUAGCUUGUCAGUAUUCAGUGAAACUACAAAGUCACUGCUGAGCAAAGACAAACAAGCAACAGCAUCAUUUGCGCUGCAUCCCCUCUAAUCUUUUGGUUACACCCUGUCAUCCAAGGACAGAUAGAGAUUUCACGCCUUGUGCCAAAGGGAUGUAAUUUCCUCCCAUGGAUGGCAGACAAAGAAUUACUCUCUUAGGUGAUGAGUGUUUGGCUCCAUCCAGGUGAGAGACACUGAUGUUUUUCCCCCUCCUUUAAAGUAAUUUUGCGGUUUCUUAUCACGUGAUGGAUGACAGCGCUGGAAGGUAUGCAGAGCAGCUGUCAGGUCAUGCAUUCACAGUAUCACACUGGUACACUGUUUGUAGUGUUGAGUAUGCCAGAGCUGAACAAUUGGCACUGUUUUUUUUUUCUGACUGUUUUUAAGGAAUGAAAAUAACAGUGUAGGUGUUUGCUUUUCUAUUAAUUAAACCUGACAUCUUAAUCACAUGGAGCAUCAGAAAAGAAAAACUUCUGAGCAACAUUUGAUGAUAUAAACUCAAGCUAUUACGAUUUGAUUGUAAUGAAACAAAGUAUUCCUGGCUCUCUCAGACUGUGGUUCAUAUUUGCAUCACUCAAAAAUGGUAUGACGCGAGUUCUUUGUCCAUCAAACUAUGUCCUGACUUGCUUUCCAAUAAUACUGCUAUCUAGUGUGGAUGUCAGCCUUCGUUCUCCAGGCAGCUGAACCUCAGACGUACUUUUUUGGCACCUGAAUUAAAGGUCAUGUGUGUGUUAUCAAGUCACUCAUUGAAGCAGCUGCUGGUUUUCACAAUACUACAAACUUACACGGAGCCAAGUUUCUUUACUGUUGUUAUUGGCCACACUUUUGCCAAGAGAUACUCUGCACUACGUCUAAGUUCUUCUUUGUAUAAUGACACAAUCAAGCCAUUAAGUGGGCAUGUUCAUUCAGGCACCACACAACAUGCUCACUAAGAUGUUCAGUCUGAGCUUAUUUUCUGGAAAAGACAAGUACAAUUAAUAUUGUUUGACAUUAAGUUUAGUGAAAUUGUUUUAAACUUGAAAAUCUAUUACUGAAACAGAAUAUUGAUAUCUUGGCCUAACAUUGUCACUAAUCUUUUUUGUUCUUGGUUUCUAGGAAAACGAGGCAGAUAGCACGAGUCAAAAUACUGCAAAAGUUGCCUGAAGGCUUAUUUGGAUGUGAAGGUUAUAAUAAAUACCAAACAUGGUUUUGAUUCGGAAUUUUUAUCUCAGGCAGAAGAAUUAAAGAGGAGAAUGAGAGGGGACCAAAGAUUGAGCCUUGAGGAACUCCACAUUUAAAAGAUAUGAUGGGAAUUGUGUUUCAAUUAUUGAUAUCGUUUGAGUGUUUCAAACUGGCAAAAAAAAAAGUAGGUUUAAGAGAAUAUUGACACUAAAUGCAAGCAUCCACAGGUGACAUUAGCUGCUCAACGUUGCCAGUGAUUAGCCUUUGCUCGUCUUUCGUCCUGUUUUCCCUUGAAACUUGAUCGCUAAAGUUUUGGUAAAAAUAAAAAAGAUAAUUCAUUGAUGAAUUAUUUGGAUGUCAACGAGAUACUUAAAUGUCAUAUCUGUUGUAAUAUCCAUCAAAGUCUUACCACUACAUGAUUAGAGAGUAGACAACGGAAGAGGAUUAGGGCCUAGGAAAAAAAACAAAAACAAAAAAACAUUAUAUAAGGUUGUGGUGUCCCGUUGCCCCCAGAAAUUAUGUCGACAAUGUGAGAAAAAAAAAAACAAAACAUACAUUUUAUCUAUGAUUUGCUAUGACAGUUUUGAAGUUCAAGGUCUUUUUUCUCUUUAAGUGCAAGGCUAUUAGGAGCAUUUUAAUGGAGAACAAAAGAGGACCGAGCACUGAGCCUUGGGGAACUCCAUAGGAUGGAAAUGUAGGGGGUUAAGAUUGACUUUUGAGUGACAGGUGUGUCUAUGAAUGGGUUAAUGAAGAGCUAAUUUCUUGUAAGAACAGGGCAGAAAUUCUCCACUAACAAAGUUAAAACCCUGACUAUUAAAGUGAUCAAAACUGACAACCAACAAAUCAGUGGAAGAUCUACACAUUUUAGAGUUAGAUGCCUAUCUUAAGAUUCCAUAAAACACAACCCAUUUCUCAGGAAGUUCCUACUCCUUCUUAUCAUGAAGCCUUACUCAUGCUGACACAAAUACAGGCUGGGUCUGACACACCCCGCUUCUCCAUGAGAAUCAGCACAUCCCCUGCAAGACACUGGCGUACACAUCUGCACAAGCCCACACAUCCCAAACCACAGCAGCUCUGACUGGAAGCCUUGAAUAACCGUUUAAAGAUGUGCUCUCUCUCUCUCUCUUUCUUUCUUUCUUUCCUCUCCUCUCUUCGUUUUAUUUUUUCAGCCCUGUAUGCUCCAUCACCCUCCAGCAGGCAGAGGAAUGUGAGGGCUUGGCUUUUCAACUUGGCAAAAACAAGAUUUGUGCAACUAUGCAACCGAUAAAAAUAGCAAACGCAUCAGAAUAAUUUUCCUGACAGAUGUGUUGUCAUUCUGCUCAUCAUAUCUAUACUGUGAGGUUAUUAACAGGAGAUUUAACAAACAUUAUGGAGUAUAAAAGAAUGGGAAAAAAAGGCUUUAGUACACGUAAACCAUAAUUUCUGUGUUGAUAUACUUUCAAAGGUCAGGGCUGAGUGGAGCUCGAUGUAGCAUGCACUAGCUAAACCCUGGAAAACAUCCUUGAUGGGUUCCUCACACAAGUACAAAGACAAAGAUAUUCAUGGCUGUGG
Molecule: non-coding RNA, 3001 nt
Organism: Xyrichtys novacula (pearly razorfish)
Lineage: Eukaryota; Metazoa; Chordata; Actinopteri; Labriformes; Labridae
Source: the annotation of a GenBank genome assembly